Molecule: microRNA, 21 nt
Filed under: Monodelphis domestica (gray short-tailed opossum)
Lineage: Eukaryota; Metazoa; Chordata; Mammalia; Didelphimorphia; Didelphidae
Description: mdo-miR-7284b-3p
Source: miRBase by way of RNAcentral
UUACCAACUAUACGCUAGUGC